UUGGAGGGCAAGUCUGGUGCCAGCAGCCGCGGUAAUUCCACCUCCAAUAGCGUAUAUUAAAGUUGUUGCAGUUAAAAAGCUCGUAGUUGAAUUUCGGAAUCCAUCCGUCGGUCGGGCUUCACGGUCCGCACUGGUGUGAUGGAUUCCUACCUUCUGAAUAACCAGCAUGCUAUUAAUUUGGUGCGUUGGGGAAGCAGGACUGUUACCUUGAAAAAAUUAGAGUGCUUAAAGCAGGCUAGUGCCUGAAUACAUUAGCAUGGAAUAAUGAAAUAGGACGGCAUGGUUCUAUUUUGUUGGUUUCUAGGAUCACCGUAAUGAUUAAUAGGGAUAGUUGGGGGCAUUAGUAUUCAAUUGUCAGAGGUGAAAUUCUUGGAUUUAUUGAAGACUAACUUCUGCGAAAGCAUUUGCCAAGGAUGUUUUCAUUAAUCAAGAACGAAAGUUAGGGGAUCGAAGACGAUCAGAUACCGUCGUAGUCUUAACCAUAAACUAUGCCGACUAGGGAUCGGACGAUGUUGAUUUUUUAAUGACUCGUUCGGCGCCUUACGGGAAAC
RNAcentral lists this ribosomal RNA (551 nucleotides) under uncultured Glomeromycotina. Its description in RNAcentral is "SSU rRNA". It matches the Rfam family "Eukaryotic small subunit ribosomal RNA", at positions 548 to 1098 of the family's 1831-position model. Lineage: Eukaryota; Fungi; Glomeromycota. The record is from RNAcentral.